CACGCCGUAAACGAUGAGAACUAGACGUUGGGAGGUUAACCUUUUAGUGUCGCAGCUAACGCGAUAAGUUCUCCGCCUGGGGAGUACGGCCGCAAGGCUAAAAACUCAAAUGAAUUGACGGGGGGCCCGGCACAAGCGGUGGAGCAUGUGGCUUAAUUCGAUGCAACGCGAAAAACCUUACCUGCCCUUGACAUCUACGGAAUCCUGCAGAGAUGCGGGAGUGCCUUCGGGAGCCGUAAGACAG
Molecule: ribosomal RNA, 244 nt
Filed under: uncultured bacterium
Lineage: Bacteria
Description: partial 16S ribosomal RNA
Rfam family: Bacterial small subunit ribosomal RNA
Source: RNAcentral